CUAAAUCCUCCUAUUCAGACUACAGUGGAAGCCAUCACCAUGACUCAGCAACAAUCAGCAAGAACAACAGUGACAGUGGAUGCCAGCGUGACAACAGUGGGGUUCACAACAUCUGAAGAUGUACACACAGCACCACCGGCAGGAAAGUGGCUG
Long non-coding RNA from Thunnus maccoyii (southern bluefin tuna), 153 nucleotides. RefSeq lists it as uncharacterized. The record is from RefSeq and is a predicted model, not a curated record. The transcript has 3 exons. Lineage: Eukaryota; Metazoa; Chordata; Actinopteri; Scombriformes; Scombridae.